UGCUUAUCGAUGAUGUUUCAAAAACAAAUGUCUGAACAUAUGAGUUCUUAAGUGAUUUCAGUUUGUGACUGAGAUAAGCG
Spea bombifrons (plains spadefoot toad) is the source of this 80-nucleotide small nucleolar RNA. RefSeq annotates it as small nucleolar RNA SNORD72. NCBI's taxonomy places the organism in Eukaryota, Metazoa, Chordata, Amphibia, Anura, Pelobatidae. The record is from RefSeq and is a predicted model, not a curated record. The transcript has a single exon.